RNAcentral lists this ribosomal RNA (308 nucleotides) under uncultured bacterium. Its description in RNAcentral is "partial 16S ribosomal RNA". It matches the Rfam family "Bacterial small subunit ribosomal RNA", at positions 505 to 807 of the family's 1533-position model. The record is from RNAcentral.
GAGACAGCAGCCGCCGCGGUAAUACAGAGGGUGCGAGCGUUAAUCGGAUUUACUGGGCGUAAAGCGUGCGUAGGCGGAUAAUUGAGUCGGAUGUGAAAUCCCCGAGCUUAACUUGGGAAUUGCAUUCGAUACUGGUUAGCUAGAGUGUGGGAGAGGAUGGUAGAAUUCCAGGUGUAGCGGUGAAAUGCGUAGAGAUCUGGAGGAAUACCGAUGGCGAAGGCAGCCAUCUGGCCUAACACUGACGCUGAGGUACGAAAGCAUGGGGAGCAAACAGGAUUAGAUACCCCAGUAGUCCCUGUCUCUUAUAC